Equus caballus (horse) is the source of this 1688-nucleotide long non-coding RNA. NCBI's taxonomy places the organism in Eukaryota, Metazoa, Chordata, Mammalia, Perissodactyla, Equidae. The record is from Ensembl.
CUAUAAAACCUGCUGUGGCUCCCUGUUGUUGAGAAGGUAGACAUCCAACCACAACAGCUUUGGAUUAAGCCCCACCGUAUUUCAGCGGCUGCACAUAGACUUUCUCUAAUCCUCACAGCGAUCACAUGGAAGGAAAUAAGAUGUUCUCAUUCACAGAUGGAAAAAAUCGGGCUCAAAAACGGGGAGGCGUCACCAACUGGCUAACUGACAAAGAUGGAAUUGGAACCCAGGUCUUCACAACCUCAGAUAUUAAUAAUGACACCAGGAUCAAUGGUAGCUCUUUACCGGGUUCUUCCUGAGGUCCCAGCCCUGUCCUGUAUGCCCUGCUCACCGAGUGAGACUCUGACGGGAGACGUAGUUUCCUGGUUUCCUGGCUCCUGGUGUCUCGGUUCAGCAAAGGCUCCUGUUUCAGUGAACUAUCGCUGUGUAACGAACGCUCCAGAACUUAGUGUCUUAAAGCCACAGUGAUUUACUAUUUCUCGUGAGUCUCCAGUUGACUGGGCUGGCCUUCUGCUCCGCGUCAGUCAGCUGAAACCACGCACACAGCCGCGUUCAGUUGGUGAUGGGCGCAAGGCCUGAGAAGACCCCCGUCACAUGGGCUGCCUGUCGGCUGGCACACGUGAGCUCUCCCGCCUCGGGGCCCCUCUGUCCAUGUGGCACCUCAUCCCCCGCGGCCUCUCUGCACAGCCUCCUUCUCCAGCAGCACAGCCAGGACCUCCUCACAGCUCAGCGACAGGGUUCCAGGGGGGCGAAAGGGACUCUCAAGGGCCAGGCCCGGCACCAGCAUGGCGUCACCUCCUCCACACUCUAUGGCCCAAAGCAGGCCAGCCCCAGUGUGACGGGAGGGGGAGAAACUCCGCCUUCUGGCGGGAAGAGCGGCAUGUGCACUCUUGGAAGGGAAGAAUCAUUGGCGGCCGCAUUUGAACACUGUCUCCUGCCGUCACAAAGCUGAACAGAGGGUGGUCAGGUCCACACACUGCAGAGACAUGGCGGGUCACCUCAGAAGGCUGUCCUAAGGGUGACCCAAAAAGUGCCACCUGGCUCCCCUCUGUCCAUCGCCUGCAAAGGAAGGGUGAGAACUGAUGGGGAAAAGAUGGAGACGAGGACGACUUGGAUAGGGGGGUUCUGGAGUUCCAUGGCACCUCCAGUCUUCUCCUCAUGGGGAAAGCCGUGCGUCUCCCUCACCUUAAGCCAAAAGAAGGGCCUCGAGACAAGUGAUGCCUGAGCCACCUAAAACCUGCGUGAUGCAGGGACUGGGGACCUCACUGACAUAAAAAAGUCUCUAGUGAUGACUAAGGACAUGACCCAGCAAUAAGGUGGCGGCCAGAGUCUCCUACCAUGAGUGCGGGGCGAAGACGUGGGCUUCUCCCGGCCGGAUCCCUAAGGAAGCCAGCAGAGGCGAGGCGGAGGCCAGCAGGUGCAGAAGCACAACACAGAAGAGGAAGCAUCCAGAACACCGGCCAUGACCAGUCUCUCCACGGCAGGGUCCCAACCCUGGGAGGCCCAGGCUGAGAGGUGUCUGGGAAGAUGAGGUUGUUUUGAAUUGGGUGUGAGAUUAAAGUUCUGGUAAUACAGGGAGGCUGCAGCCCCACGGCCAGUCACCGGGCUGAGUCUCUGGGGAGGGACACCAGGACUGCCGGGUUCCAUUUCCCUCCAUGACCAGAAACAGGGCUCCUCUGUACGGGCUG